UACGUAGGGGGCAAGCGUUGUCCGGAUUUAUUGGGCGUAAAGAGCGUGUACGCGGCCAUACAGGUCCGUUGUGAAAACUGGAGGCUUAACCUCCAGACGUCGAUGGAAACCGUAUGGCUAGAGUCCGGAAGAGGAGAGUGGAAUUCCUGGUGUAGCGGUGAAAUGCGCAGAUAUCAGGAAGAACACCCGUGGCGAAGGCGGCUCUCUGGGACGGUACUGACGCUGAGACGCGAAAGCGUGGGGAGCGAACAGG
RNAcentral lists this ribosomal RNA (253 nucleotides) under uncultured bacterium. RNAcentral describes it as "partial 16S ribosomal RNA". It matches the Rfam family "Bacterial small subunit ribosomal RNA", at positions 524 to 776 of the family's 1533-position model. The record is from RNAcentral.